GCGCUCACUUCAGCAGCAUAUAUACUAAAAUUAGAAUGACACAGAGGUUAGCAUGAUCCCUGCAUGAGGAUGAUAUGCAAAUUCGUGAAGCGGUAUAUAUUUUU
Alexandromys fortis (reed vole) is the source of this 104-nucleotide small nuclear RNA. The record is from RefSeq and is a predicted model, not a curated record. NCBI's taxonomy places the organism in Eukaryota, Metazoa, Chordata, Mammalia, Rodentia, Cricetidae.